AACGCACAUUGCGCCCGCCAGCAUUCUGGCGGGCAUGCCUGUUCGAGCGUCAUUACAACACUCGACUUCCCGGGCCCAGCCCGUGGAAGUCGGCAUUGGGGAUCGGCAGCACACCGCCGGCCCUGAAAUGGAGUGGCGGCCCGUCCGCGGCGACCUCUGCGUAGUAAUCCAACUCGCACUGGAACCCCGACGUGGCCACGCCGUAAAACACCCAACUUCUGAACGUUGACCUCGAAUCAGGUAGGACUACCCGCUGAACUUAA
Molecule: unclassified non-coding RNA, 263 nt
Filed under: uncultured fungus
Lineage: Eukaryota; Fungi
Description: sequence contains ITS2
Source: RNAcentral